RNAcentral lists this ribosomal RNA (460 nucleotides) under uncultured bacterium. Its description in RNAcentral is "partial 16S ribosomal RNA". It matches the Rfam family "Bacterial small subunit ribosomal RNA", at positions 338 to 795 of the family's 1533-position model. The record is from RNAcentral.
CCUACGGGAGGCAGCAGUGAGGAAUAUUGGUCAAUGGACGAGAGUCUGAACCAGCCAAGUAGCGUGAAGGAUGACUGCCCUAUGGGUUGUAAACUUCUUUUAUAUAGGAAUAAAAUGUUCCACGUGUGGGUUUUUGUAUGUACCAUAUGAAUAAGGAUCGGCUAACUCCGUGCCAGCAGCCGCGGUAAUACGGAGGAUCCGAGCGUUAUCCGGAUUUAUUGGGUUUAAAGGGAGCGUAGGUGGGUUGUUAAGUCAGUUGUGAAAGUUUGCGGCUCAACCGUAAAAUUGCAGUUGAAACUGGCAGUCUUGAGUACAGUAGAGGUGGGCGGAAUUCGUGGUGUAGCGGUGAAAUGCUUAGAUAUCACGAAGAACCCCGAUUGCGAAGGCAGCUCACUGGACUGCAACUGACACUGAGGCUCGAAAGUGUGGGUAUCAAACAGGAUUAGAUACCCGAGUAGUC